This 752-nucleotide ribosomal RNA is filed under the name uncultured marine bacterium. Its description in RNAcentral is "bacterial SSU rRNA". It matches the Rfam family "Bacterial small subunit ribosomal RNA", at positions 94 to 883 of the family's 1533-position model. The record is from RNAcentral.
AGUGGCGCACGGGUGAGUAACAUGUGGGAAUCUACCUGAAGGUUCGGAAUAACUGCGGGAAACUGUAGCUAAUACCGGAUGUGUCUGCAAAGAGAAAGAUUUAUCGCCUUCAGAUGAGCCCGCACUAGGUUAGCUAGUUGGUGAGGUAACUGCUCCACCAAGGCUACGAUCUAUAGCUGAUUUGAGAGGAUGAUCAGCCACACUGGGACUGAGACACGGCCCAGACUCCUACGGGAGGCAGCAGUAGGGAAUAUUGGACAAUGGGGGAAACCCUGAUCCAGCAAUGCCGCGUGAGUGAAGAAGGCCUUCGGGUUGUAAAACUCUUUCAUCAAUGAUGAUAAUGACAUUAGUUGAAGAAGAAGCUCCGGCUAACUUCGUGCCAGCAGCCGCGGUAAUACGAAGGGAGCUAGCGUUGUUCGGAAUCACUGGGCGUAAAGCGUAUGUAGGCGGAUCAAAAAGUUAGAUGUGAAAUCCCUGGGCUCAACCCAGGAACUGCAUUUAAAACUAGUGAUCUAGAAUUUGGUAGGGGUUAGUAGAAUUUCCAGUGUAGAGGUGAAAUUCGUAGAUAUUGGAAAGAAUACCAGUGGCGAAGGCGACUAACUGGGCCAUUUUUGACGCUGAGAUACGAAAGCGUGGGUAGCAAACAGGAUUAGAUACCCUGGUAGUCCACGCAGUAAACGAUGAGUGCUAGUCGCUGGGACAAUAGUUUCAGUGUCGAAGCUAACGCAUUAAGCACUCCGCCUGGGAAGUAC